Molecule: long non-coding RNA, 438 nt
Organism: Rosa rugosa (rugosa rose)
Lineage: Eukaryota; Viridiplantae; Streptophyta; Magnoliopsida; Rosales; Rosaceae
Exons: 6
Source: RefSeq, a predicted model, not a curated record
UCAUGUCUCUUUUUCUGUUAUAUUGAAGUUUACAUUUGUUAUCGAUUUCGAAUGCAAUUGUUGGAAAGUUUGCAGGGGUUGAUGUUAAACAAGGAAGGGUAUGCUUCUAUAGGAGGUGGUUCACCCUUGCGUAAGAUGACAGAUGAGCAGGCAAAUGCACUGAAAAUGGCUUUGGAAUCAAAGGACAUGCCGGUGAAUGUCUAUGUGGGAAUGCGGUACUGGUUCCCGUUCACUGAGGAAGUUUUUCAUCAAAUUAAGAGGGACAGAAUAACCAGAUUAAGAGGGACAGAAUAACCAAGCUGGUAAUGUUCUUUCUCUCAAGAACAACUUGGGGUUGAGUCUAGAUAAGGAUCAAGUUUCCCAUCAAGAGUUGCUUGAGCUUCUUGCCUCUCGACUACAUGCUGCAAUUGAUAUCCCUGGAAACCAGUUGAGGGGGGG